Molecule: ribosomal RNA, 446 nt
Filed under: uncultured bacterium
Lineage: Bacteria
Description: SSU rRNA
Rfam family: Bacterial small subunit ribosomal RNA
Source: RNAcentral
AGAGCGAACGCUGGCGGCAGGCCUAACACAUGCAAGUCGAGCGCCCGUAGCAAUACGGGAGCGGCAGACGGGAUAGUAACACGUGGGAACGCGCCCUUCGGUUCGGAAUAACUCAGGGAAACUUGAGCUAAUACCGGAUACGCCCUUACGGGGAAAGAUUUAUUGCCGAAGGAACGGCCCGCGUCCGAUUAGCUAGUUGGUGAGGUAAUGGCUCACCAAGGCGACGAUCGGUAGCUGGUCUGAGAGGAUGACCAGCAUCACUGGGACUGAGACACGGCCCAGACUCCUACGGGAGGCAGCAGUGGGGAAUAUGGACAAUGGGCGCAAGCCUGAUCCAGCCAUGCCGCGUGGAUGAUGAAGGCCUUAGGGUUGUAAAGUCCUUUUAACGGGAAGAUAAUGACGGUACCCGUAGAAUAAGCCCCGGCUAACUUCGCGCCAGCAGCCGC